This 84-nucleotide microRNA precursor is filed under the name Vicugna pacos (alpaca). Lineage: Eukaryota; Metazoa; Chordata; Mammalia; Artiodactyla; Camelidae. The record is from RNAcentral.
GUCUACGCCGUACCACCCUGAACGCGCCCAAUCUCGUCUGAUCUUGGAAGCUAAGCAGGGUCGGGCCUGGUCAGUACUUGGAUG